GGAGAGAGUUGUGCCUACUUAGUUCUCUCCUAAAAGGACUGCAGCCUGGAUUUGUCUCUCCAUUGCCCACUUCCAUGUUUCCUCCCCCAGUUAUUUUGGAGGCCCCGGGGACCGAGUGGGUGACCCAGCUGAGACCGGAGUUCUGGCAGGGCCAGGGUGGGUGUUAUUCUCCAAAUAAUUCACCACUUGAGCACUUGCUCCAGACACUGGGUUCCCCAGGGACCUCUUGCUCUGUGACACGCGUGACAGCAUGGCCUCUUUGUCUUCCCAGGGCAUCAUCGAGCAGAAAGGGACAGGCAGAGGAGGGGACAAGAGAGAAGCCAGGGGAUCCAGCAGCUGCUCUGUCCCAGAAGCUGGAAGCCCCAGAAGAGGAGAGAUGAGGACGCAUCACCAGUCUGAGACUGAGGCCUGAAGCUCUGUGGAGAGUUGCUGGUUGAGUCCACACUGAGAGGCUGAAGGAGCUGGAGUGUGACAUCCACGCACAAUGACAGUAUUUCCAGGGACCUUCAUAAUGGGCCAUGGUAAUAUGAGGCAAUGCCCUAAUGGACUCCAUUGUCGGGGAGCAGUUCAACUUCUUGGUGGUCUGGCUCACUCAUCCCUGCCAACACUGUGACUCCCCUUUUAGCAGGCUGGCUCAGAGGCAAAACCAGGGGAAGUCUUAACUUCCAUUUCAAAGGAAUUGUUGUGCCACCCACAAGAUGCAUUCUGCCCCCUGGAUGUAAGACUUCUAGGCCAGGAGAGCAUAAGUCUACGGGAAGAGGAAGUAAAAACUUUCCCAGUGGGU
RNAcentral lists this long non-coding RNA (784 nucleotides) under Heterocephalus glaber (naked mole-rat). Its description in RNAcentral is "lncRNA (ENSHGLG00100039467.1)". Lineage: Eukaryota; Metazoa; Chordata; Mammalia; Rodentia; Bathyergidae. The record is from RNAcentral.